GACGAACGCUGGCGGCGUGCCUAACACAUGCAAGUCGAGCGGGGAUUUAAGUGGAAGUUCUUCGGAAUGGAGAUUUAAAUUCUAGCGGCGGACGGGUGAGUAACGCGUGAACAAUCUGUCCCGGACAGGGGGAUAACACUUGGAAACAGGUGCUAAUACCGCAUAAGACCACGGCCUCGCAUGGGGCUGAGGUAAAAGGAGCAAUCCGGUUCGGGGUGAGUUCGCGUCCGAUUAGCUAGUUGGUGAGGUAACGGCCCACCAAGGAGACGAUCGGUAGCCGGCCUGAGAGGGUGAACGGCCACAUUGGAACUGAGGGGCGGUCCAAACGCCUACGGGAGGCAGCAGUGGGGAAUAUUGGGCAAUGGGCGAAAGCCUGACCCAGCAACGCCGCGUGAGGGAAGAAGGUUUUCGGAUUGUAAACCUCUGUCCUAUGGGACGAAGGAAGUGACGGUACCAUAGGAGGAAGCCCCGGCUAACUACGUG
RNAcentral lists this ribosomal RNA (483 nucleotides) under uncultured bacterium. Its description in RNAcentral is "partial 16S ribosomal RNA". It matches the Rfam family "Bacterial small subunit ribosomal RNA", at positions 28 to 507 of the family's 1533-position model. The record is from RNAcentral.